AUUAAUUCCCUUGUUUGGAACAUUGAUCUUACCGAACAAGGUGCUGACUAGUCCCUCCGUUCAUGAGUUACUGAGCUCUGGAGGUCUCAACGGUGUUCGGUCGUUUGAGUGUCCCAUUUGAGUUCCAGACACUCGACGACCAAACACCGCUGAGAUUUUCAUGCGUAAGAUGGCCGCCUCACGUGGUUCGUAUGCCGAACGGCGACCACACAGGCACAUACAAUGGAUCAAUUAAGCUGCGGUUUGCAGAGUGUGAAUG
This is a non-coding RNA of Pelobates cultripes (western spadefoot toad), 259 nucleotides long. The record is from the annotation of a GenBank genome assembly. Lineage: Eukaryota; Metazoa; Chordata; Amphibia; Anura; Pelobatidae.